CCUACGGGAGGCAGCAGUGAGGAAUAUUGGUCAAUGGACGCAAGUCUGAACCAGCCAUGCCGCGUGCAGGAAGACGGCCCUAUGAGUUGUAAACUGCUUUUGUACGAGGGUAAACUCAGAUACGCGUAUCUUUCUGUAAGUAUCGUAUGAAUAAGGAUCGGCUAACUCCGUGCCAGCAGCCGCGGUAAUACGGAGGAUUCAAGCGUUAUCCGGAUUUAUUGGGUUUAAAGGGUGCGUAGGCGGUCUGAUAAGUUAGAGGUGAAAGCCCGAGGCUCAACCUCAGAAUUGCAAUUGAUACUGUUAGGCUUGAGUACAGUUGCGGUAGGCGGAAUGUAUGGUGUAGCGGUGAAAUGCUUAGAGAUCAUAAAGAACACCGAUUGCGAAGGCAGCUUACCAAGCUACCUCUGACGUUGAGGCACGAAAGCGUGGGGAGCAAACAGGAUUAGAUACCCUUGUAGUC
RNAcentral lists this ribosomal RNA (460 nucleotides) under uncultured bacterium. RNAcentral's name for it is "partial 16S ribosomal RNA". It matches the Rfam family "Bacterial small subunit ribosomal RNA", at positions 338 to 795 of the family's 1533-position model. The record is from RNAcentral.